CACAGAAAAUAAUCCAACAAAUGACCAAAAUCACAACCCACCACAUGUGAAAACCAUCUUCCAAACUCUCCAAAGAUCUUUAGGUCAUAUUGCAGAGGAGAAGAGGGAUAAAGAAUCCUCUCUCUUCAACAGGGAUGUAAGUGAUGAGCAGUUAACAGCUGUAAAUAAAGGAACACUUCAAGAAGCAAUCAGUCCAGAUGUUCCAAGCAGGAGUAUGCCACGCGCGCAGCUUCUGCACUUUCUGCAGAGGGACAUCAGCAUCGCCGCUGUCUCGGUGGCAGGAAUCCUCACGGCCACAGUGUUGCUGCUGCUGGCGUUGGUCACGGACAUCAGGAAGAAACAGCCGUUAUCUCCUCCAGCAAACAUGGCAUACAAUAUUUUUAUAAUGAAUGGAAAGACUUGGUGGCAAAAGUCUCAAGAAAAGAAGACCAGAAAACAUGCAGGAAAACAGGAACAGGUGAAGUUACAUUCCAGUGUCUAAGCCAGGUGAUGGGGCCAGCCAACCAGCACCCAAAGCCGUGAUGCGAGGCGAUUCUCCAUCCAGACUCGGUGGAGAGGCAGUUGGAUUUCUGGCUGUGAGGUGCACCCU
This is a long non-coding RNA of Balaenoptera musculus (blue whale), 589 nucleotides long. RefSeq lists it as uncharacterized. Lineage: Eukaryota; Metazoa; Chordata; Mammalia; Artiodactyla; Balaenopteridae. The transcript has 4 exons. The record is from RefSeq and is a predicted model, not a curated record.